RNAcentral lists this ribosomal RNA (468 nucleotides) under uncultured bacterium. Its description in RNAcentral is "partial 16S ribosomal RNA". It matches the Rfam family "Bacterial small subunit ribosomal RNA", at positions 28 to 507 of the family's 1533-position model. The record is from RNAcentral.
GACGAACGCUGGCGGCGUGCUUAACACAUGCAAGUCGAACGGAAAGGCCCUGCUUUUGUGGGGUGCUCGAGUUGCGAACGGGUGAGUAACACGUGAGUAACCUGCCCUUGACUUUGGGAUAACUUCAGGAAACUGGGGCUAAUACCGGAUAGGAGCUCCUGCUGCAUGGUGGGGGUUGGAAAGUUUCGGCGGUUGGGGAUGGACUCGCGGCUUAUCAGCUUGUUGGUGGGGUAGUGGCUUACCAAGGCUUUGACGGGUAGCCGGGCUGGGAGGGUAAGAGGCCACAUUGGGACUGAGAUGAGGCCCAGACUCGUACGGGAGGCAACGGUGGGGAAGAGUGCACAAUGGGCGGAAGGCUGAUGCAGCAACGCCGCGUGGGGGAUGACGGCCUUGGGGUUGGAAACCGCUUUCGCCUGUGACGAAGCGUGAGUGACGGUAAUGGGUAAAGAAGCACCGGCUAACUACGUG